Molecule: ribosomal RNA, 332 nt
Filed under: uncultured bacterium
Lineage: Bacteria
Description: bacterial SSU rRNA
Rfam family: Bacterial small subunit ribosomal RNA
Source: RNAcentral
CGUCUAGGCGGAUGCGUCAGUCGGGUAUGAAAUCCUUCGGCUCAACCGGGGAACGGUGCCCGAUACUGCGUGUCUUGAGUGCAGCAGAGGAGAGUGGAAUUCCUGGUGGAGCGGUGAAAUGCGUAGAUAUCAGGAGGAACGCCGGAGGCGAAAGCGAUUCUCUGGGCUGUCACUGACGCUGAAGCGCGAAAGCUAGGGGAGCAAACGGGAUUAGAUACCCCGGUAGUCCUAGCUGUAAACGAUGGGCACUAGGUAGGGGGAGUUCCGACGCUUUCUCUGCCGUAGCUAACGCAUUAAGUGCCCCGCCUGGGGAGUACGGUCGCAAGGCUAAA